AACGAACGCUGGCGGCAUGCCUAACACAUGCAAGUCGAACGAAGCCUUCGGGCUUAGUGGCGCACGGGUGCGUAACGCGUGGGAACCUGCCUUUAGGUUCGGAAUAACUCCCCGAAAGGGGUGCUAAUACCGAAUAAUGUCUUCGGACAAAGAUUUAUCGCCUUUAGAUGGGCCCGCGUUGGAUUAGCUAGUUGGUGGGG
This 200-nucleotide ribosomal RNA is filed under the name uncultured bacterium. RNAcentral describes it as "partial 16S ribosomal RNA". It matches the Rfam family "Bacterial small subunit ribosomal RNA", at positions 29 to 257 of the family's 1533-position model. The record is from RNAcentral.